This is a long non-coding RNA of Nerophis ophidion (straightnose pipefish), 1499 nucleotides long. RefSeq lists it as uncharacterized. The record is from RefSeq and is a predicted model, not a curated record. Lineage: Eukaryota; Metazoa; Chordata; Actinopteri; Syngnathiformes; Syngnathidae. The transcript has 3 exons.
ACCAAGACAGCAGGAACACGCCACGCGCGGGAGGCAUAAGGGAAUGACUGGACACAAAGAGUGAUUUAGUGACCACAGGAAGCACAAGGUGUUGGGAGUCUGCAGGGGCCAUGCACUUGAGACAUAUGCUUUGGAAACCUCCUGGAAAGCGAGGGAAGGACUAGAGCGAGGACCCAGACUGAGGGUGGCCAGGACAAGAAUGCACCCAGUGGAGACAUCGGUUCAAUGCUUGCAAUAUGCCAGUGGUUCUCAACCUUUUUUUGUAUGUGACGGUUACGUGGCAUGGUGGUGAUGCGGGUCGUUCUCUCAGGGAUGCAGUCGGGCUCGAACACAGCAUGAAGGUGUGAACACCAAGUAAUCAAAAUUGCUUACCACACCCUUGUAGAAGUAGACGAGGGAGCCAGCUACAAUCUCAGCAAUUAAGAUCAACAAGAGGCAGGCAAAGUACUAAAACAAAGAGAGAAAUGAAUGUAAAAUAAGAACAUAAAACACAACUAUAAUACAUAAUAGUAAUCAACCUACAGUUUAAAUUCUUAUGGACACUGUGGCAAACUACAAAAAUUAAGUUCAUUGACCCUAUGUUUAUAAUCAUUGUAUGUACUAGGGAUGUACUGAAAUUUUGGAUUUUAAUAACUGAAACAGCACUGUCGAAACAGGAUGUUGUGAUGACAUUAGAAAGAAGCACCUAAUUGUCUAAAGUGGAAAGAACAUGUCCGUGAUGUGGACGUGCUUUAAUAUAUCCGAGAUAAACCCUCAAACAAAGAUCUGCAAAAGUGCAAUUUGGAAAUAUCAAGAAGGCUGUGGUGAUUACUAGUCUUUCAAGGAGGUGUAGUGCCAGCUGGGUGUGACCGCUUUUGAGUGCUUUGGGAUAGUGGAAAGUUCGAGCAGCACUCGCUGCUUGUCGGCCACACUGCAGAGCGACAAAAUUCAAGAGUGUUGAAACACUAAUACGGUCUCCAAUAACACCCGAAAAAUUUUUUAAAUUUGUGGCUUGUCUAUGACGAAAUGAGGAAAAAAAUACUUCAAAGUAGGGCUGGGUGAUAUAUCGAUAUAUUCGAUAUAUCGUGGGUUUGUCUCUGUGCGAUAUAGAAAAUGACUAUAUUGUGAUAUUGGAGGAUACGUUCUCACGCAGUUGCUUUUAGCUGCAAGCUUUACACUACAGGCGUUUCUCACUCUUUUUCUUCUCACCUUCUUACAGAGACAUAAAACGAGCACACCUUCUUACACACGUCUCAUACUGUCGCGUGUGCAACAUGACGUUGCACAUGACACGCUCUCGCCGAGCAGAGAGGUUGCGACACCGGUAUCAUUAGCUGUGGUGCUAACGGUGCAGUGCGAGAGGUAAUACGAGAGAAAGAAGGCGCGAAUCCGGUAACAAAUGAAGGAAGAAUUAAUUCCCAAGAAAAACAGCACGGGGUCCAUCGCAUACUUGUCCAACCUUGAGACCUCAGAUUUCGGGAGGUUGGGGAUAUGUGGUCAAAUACUUGACUUUCAGUGAA